Long non-coding RNA from Mobula hypostoma (lesser devil ray), 1235 nucleotides. RefSeq lists it as uncharacterized. The transcript is spliced from 3 exons. NCBI's taxonomy places the organism in Eukaryota, Metazoa, Chordata, Chondrichthyes, Myliobatiformes, Myliobatidae. The record is from RefSeq and is a predicted model, not a curated record.
GUGUCUUUGGAGGGCCCUGAAGGUUUUCCAAGCAGCCAGUAUUUCAGCAAACAUAAACCUAAUUCAGGCCUUUCAUUUCAUGUAUUAUCUACUCCAUGUUCCAUUUCUGACUGAAGUCUAGGUACUGAUAGAUUUUUGCAUUAACAAGUAUUAUCUGUACAUGCAUGCAUGUUUAACUGCCAUUGAUCUAUAUAAUUCAUUCAUUACUGAUGGUUCCAGCCUCCAAGUCUCUACCCCAAGAAACAAAUAGCAAUCCCUUUCAAUUGUCAUUGGUAGCAGCUCACAAUAACGGUUCUUUUAUUAACCUGAGUUACAUGCUCACAGUUUGAUCACGGGACAGUGGGAUGAUGUAAUGGUCUUGUGAGUGGAAUGAUGUAAUUGUCUCAUGACUGUUGGGGUGAUGUUAUGUCACGUGAUGGCAUGUUCCCUACGGUAUUUAAGGAUGCCCGUCAAAGUGUGACACAGUUUUACUUUCUAUUUUAAGGUGCAAACACAUUGUUGCCAGCAGUUUCGCCAAUCGCUGCCAAUUUUUGUUUGUUGCAUCUUUGUUUUCCUUUACAGUCUAGUAUUGGAGAGUGAAGACCUUACCAAACUACGGGAACAAAUGAUCCAGUAAAGUUAAUGACGUUCGGUGUUUUGGAAGUGAUUGACUGUUUGGAAUCUGAAUCGUCCAGGAAAUUGUGCAGGCACGUUUGAGUUAAACCCCUGCAAGAUCAGGAUGGUUUGUGCAGUGUCCACCCUCCAGCCGAAAGAUCAUUCCUCAGCCUCCAAACCGCUGGAGAAAACAAUCAAAGCACAUAAAAUAUCAAGUAACGUGGGCCAGCCAGACCUUUCCACCAAAAGUGCCUCAAGGUGAUGCCUGCCGAAUGUUGUUUUGCUGAACAAAGAGGCUGCUUCAUAGCUACCAGUACUUUUCUCCAGUGACCGCAUUCACACAACAACAGUGUUACAACGAAUUAUUGUAGAAAAGUUUGUCAAAAUAUUCAGUGAUGUAAACUCAAUAAGUUCACACGUCAAUUCACCUCAAAGAGGAGUGUAUAAUAAAAUCAAUAGAUUUAGAAGUGGUAAUAUACAUUCAAAAAAAUCCAGUUUAAUUCUAUGUUUAUAAUUGUUUUAGAUUAAAAUACUAGAAUCCUGUAGAACGGCAGGUAUGUUUUUGAAAAUUGUUAAAUAUCCCAAUUUCAAAUGAAAACUGGAAACUUACUCUGUCACUACAGAGUAAUAAUAAAAGCCAC